RNAcentral lists this long non-coding RNA (429 nucleotides) under Mytilus galloprovincialis (Mediterranean mussel). Lineage: Eukaryota; Metazoa; Mollusca; Bivalvia; Mytilida; Mytilidae. The record is from RNAcentral.
GUAACAAAUCAGAUGAAAUAUAGGGGGAGUCCCUUGGGUCACCCCACCCCUCCUGUUUGAGAAUUUAAAACCCGUUGAGAUCGCCACCCCUUAACCAUAUAUUCAUGUACGGGACAAUAUAACAAUUCAAAUGAAAGAUAGGGGGAGUCCCUGAGGUCACUGUACACCCUCUGGUUUGAGAACUUGGAAAUGGUCAAGAUCCUUACCCUAAACCAUAUAUACUCAUGUAUGGGACAAUAUAACAAAUCAAAUAAAAUAUAGGGGAAGUCUCUGUGGUCACCCCAACCCUUACGGUUGAGAUCCCCACACCAAAGUAAUAUAUAUUCAUGUAUGGGCCAAAUUAUAACUAAUUAAAUGAAAUAUAGGUGGAGUCCCUGGGGUCACUCUACCCCUCCUGUUUGAGAACUUGGAAACCAAUGAGAUCCCCAC